This 341-nucleotide ribosomal RNA is filed under the name Aromia bungii. Its description in RNAcentral is "eukaryotic LSU rRNA". The stretch from base 2 to 130 matches the Rfam family "5.8S ribosomal RNA", at positions 25 to 154 of the family's 154-position model. Lineage: Eukaryota; Metazoa; Arthropoda; Insecta; Coleoptera; Cerambycidae. The record is from RNAcentral.
UUUCUCGCAUCGAUGAAGAACGCAGCGAAAUGCGAUAAGUAGUGUGAAUUGCAGAAUUCAGUGAUCAUCGAAUCUUUGAACGCACAUUGCGCCCCUUGGUAUUCCAUGGGGCAUGCCUGUUCGAGCGUCAUUUGUACCCUCAAGCUCUGCUUGGUGUUGGGUGUUUGUCCACUAUCGUGGACUCGCCUUAAAGUCAUUGGCAGCCAGUGUUUUGGUAUUGAAGCGCAGCACAUUUUGCGCCUCUAGCCUAGAACACUAGCGUCCAGUAAGCCUUUUUCCACUUUUGACCUCGGAUCAGGUAGGGAUACCCGCUGAACUUAAGCAUAUCAAUAAGCGGAGGA